CACAAUGGGCGAAAGCCUGAUGCAGCGACGCCGCGUGGGGGAUGACGGCCUUCGGGGUUGUAAACCCCUUUCAGUAGGGGAAGAAGCGAGAGUGACGGUACCUGCAGAAGAAGCGCCGGCUAACUACGUGCCAGCAGCCGCGGUAAUACGUAGGGCGCAAGCGUUGUCCGGAAUUAUUGGGCGUAAAGAGCUUGUAGGUGGCUUGUCGCGUCUGCCGUGAAAACCCGAGGCUCAACCUCGGGCGUGCGGUGGGUACGGGCAGGCUAGAGUGUGGUAGGGGAGACUGGAACUCCUGGUGUAGCGGUGAAAUGCGCAGAUAUCAGGAAGAACACCGAUGGCGAAGGCAGGUCUCUGGGCCAUUACUGACACUGAGAAGCGAAAGCAUGGGUAGCGAACAGGAUUAGAUACCCUGGUAGUCCAUGCCGUAAACGUUGGGCACUAGGUGUGGGGGACAUUCCACGUUUUCCGCGCCGUAGCUAACGCAUUAAGUGCCCCGCCUGGGGAGUACGGCCGCAAGGCUAAAACUCAAAGGAAUUGACGGGGGCCCGCACAAGCGGCGGAGCAUGCUGAUUAAUUCGAUGCAACGCGAAGAACCUUACCAAGGCUUGACAUGCACUGGAC
Molecule: ribosomal RNA, 621 nt
Filed under: Brachybacterium sp.
Lineage: Bacteria; Bacillati; Actinomycetota; Actinomycetes; Micrococcales; Dermabacteraceae
Description: bacterial SSU rRNA
Rfam family: Bacterial small subunit ribosomal RNA
Source: RNAcentral